This 329-nucleotide ribosomal RNA is filed under the name uncultured bacterium. RNAcentral describes it as "bacterial SSU rRNA". It matches the Rfam family "Bacterial small subunit ribosomal RNA", at positions 568 to 898 of the family's 1533-position model. The record is from RNAcentral.
CGCGUAGGUGGUAGUGAAAGUCUAUGGUGGAAUCUUAGGGCUUAACCCUAAAACUGCCUUGGAAACUUCAUUACUUGAGUCAGUGAGGGGAGGGUAGAAUUCCUGGUGUAGCGGUGAAAUGCGUAGAUAUCAGGAGGAAGGCCGGUGGCGAAGGCGGCCCUCUGGCGCUGAGCUGACGCUGGGGCGCGAAAGCGUGGGUAGCAAACAGGAUUAGAUACCCUGGUAGUCCACGCCCUAAACGGUGGGUACUAGGUGUAGGGCUCGUAAGGGUUCUGUGCCGAAGGGAAACCAUUAAGUACCCCGCUGGGGAGUACGGCCGCAAGGUUGAA